Molecule: long non-coding RNA, 263 nt
Filed under: Ursus maritimus (polar bear)
Lineage: Eukaryota; Metazoa; Chordata; Mammalia; Carnivora; Ursidae
Description: lncRNA (ENSUMAG00000000809.1)
Source: RNAcentral
ACAUGAAAGACUAGGUAAUAAACAAUAACAAGGACAUACAACCAAUGCGUGUGCUCUGCCAGCAGCCAGGUGGAGCCAUCAUGACUUUAUAGUCCAAGACCAGAGAGAUGACAAUGAGGAUCUUCAGAGGACAAAAGCUCACCAGUGAGCUUCUCGGUGAUGCUGGAGCCCAUCUGACUAAUAAUAAUACAGGAUGUAUUGCUUUUGUGAGAGGAGUGAUCUCUGGGCCCUCUCCAGGACCAUACUCAGCUGGGUUAUGGUAA